CAAUAGAGUGGCGAACGGGUGAGUAAGGCGUGAAUAACCUACCUUGAUGAGGGGGACAACCAUUCGAAAGGAUGGCUAAUACCCCAUAAGCUCCUACGGGAGGAAAGCUGGCUUUGCUGGCGCUUCAGGAGGGGUUCACGUACUAUUAGCUAGUUGGUGGGGUAAUGGCCUACCAAGGCUAUGAUGGUUAGCCGGCCUGAGAGGGUGUCCGGCCACACUGGGACUGAGACACUGCCCAGACUCCUACGGGAGGCUGCAGUCGAGAAUCUUCCACUAAUGCGCGAAAGCGUGAUGGAGCAAUUCCGUGUGUAGGAUGAAGGCCUUAGGGUUGUAAACUACUGUUGGAAGGGCGUAAUCCCCGGGAGUUAAUACCUCUCCGGGUUGAACUCCCUUCGGAGGAAGCAGCGGCUAAAUUCGUGCCAGCAGCCGCGGUAAUACGAAUGCUGCAAGCGUAGUUCGGAAUCACUGGGCAUAAAGGGCACGUAGGCGGCUUGUUAAGUCAGCUGUGAAAUCCCUCGGCUCAACCGAGGAACUGCAGCUGAUACUGACAGGCUUGAGUUCGGGAGGGGAGAGCGGAAUUCCUGGUGGAGCGGUGAUAUGCAUAGAGAUCAGGAGGAACGCCGGUGGCGAAAGCGGCUCUCUGGACCGAAACUGACGCUGAGGUGCGAAAGCUAGGGGAGCGAACAGGAUUAGAUACCCUGGUAGUCCUAGCCGUAAACGAUGGGUACUAAGUGGGGGGACUCCCAAGGUCUCCCUGCCGGAGC
RNAcentral lists this ribosomal RNA (764 nucleotides) under bacterium SCGC AAA071-D13. RNAcentral describes it as "bacterial SSU rRNA". It matches the Rfam family "Bacterial small subunit ribosomal RNA", at positions 88 to 852 of the family's 1533-position model. The record is from RNAcentral. RNAcentral also lists the same sequence under 1 other name.